Molecule: non-coding RNA, 217 nt
Filed under: Brevibacillus choshinensis
Lineage: Bacteria; Bacillati; Bacillota; Bacilli; Caryophanales; Paenibacillaceae
Description: T-box sequence
Rfam family: T-box leader
About the family: Uncharged tRNA acts as the effector for transcription antitermination of genes in the T-box leader family.
Source: RNAcentral
ACAUAUUCCAUGACUGGGAUAGUAACUGUUGACGUAAGUUCAAGCGAGCCGGGAUGGUGAGAGCCGGUACGGAGUCAAUAAGCGAAGCGCCCCCACGAGAAUGACUUCUGAACGUCACAGUAGGAAGUCACGGCAAAGACCGUUAUCUUAUUGAGUGGUUAAACGAAAGUUUGACAACAAGAGUGGUACCGCGAAUGCAUACGCCUUCGUCUCUUUU